This is a small nucleolar RNA of Drosophila melanogaster (fruit fly), 135 nucleotides long. Lineage: Eukaryota; Metazoa; Arthropoda; Insecta; Diptera; Drosophilidae. The record is from Ensembl.
GUGGAGGUAAAGUGGCAUUCUCGGGAUAUAUAAACCUGCCUGUGUCUCAAACACUCCCAAAUCAACUUGGUUGGCGAACGGCAUCCUGAGUAAUUAAUAAUAUUACAUCAGAUGACUUGAGUUCGCGCACAAUCG